CAAACUUGUCUUGUAACCAGAGUUGAUGGGACUCCUCAGCCUAAAGGAUUAAUAUACUAACAAGGUCCUCUGGCUCUUGAAAACUCAGCUCAGACACCAACAUUUCAACUUGGUGAUUAUAUCUUACUUAAAACUUAUGGAAAGGAUUUUUCCCUCACAUCUGCUCCUUGCAAAGUGAGAAGAUCUGUAUCUAGAUAUUUUAAGGAGGCUUUCAGGAGAUGGAAAAGCACGGAAGAAAGUGCACAGCUUUAAAAAGUUUUUAUGAUGGCUCUAUGGGUAAUUUUAGAAGGCCGCGGCAGGGUGCUGGCAUGAUCUGAGCAUGGUGGUGGCCGCAGGAGCAUCCUGGAUCUGGGUGCAGAAUCUGGAAUUGCUGAGAUAUCUGCAAUGCAGAGCAGCCUCUUCCCCGCCCCCACCGCAGCCUCUAGGGCAUUUUCUUGGGAGUUGGGGCACAGGAGCCCUUCCAAGAAUGGUUUAAAGGCGCGGACAACUGCAGCAGAGCGCCCCCUGGGAGAAAGGCUAGCGCAGCGCGGGAAAGCGUGUUAUAGGUUUUUUUUAUUUAUUUAUUUAUUUUUAAUAAAAAAAUUUAUUUAUUUUUUAGUUUUCGGCAGACACAACAUCUUUGUAUGUAUGUGGUGCUGAGGAUCGAACCCGGGACACACGCAUGCCAGACGAUCGCGCUACCGCUCGAGCCACAUCCCCAGCCUGAGUACUGGAUUCUUCCCUCCCUUCCCCCACCCCAGUAGGAUGAUAACAGACUUGAAAGAAGACCAUGCAUACAGAAGGAGAGACUUCAGCAUGCAAACUUUCAUCAGUUCGGCUUGCACUGUAUAGAUGCCCCAUUCACAUCAGUACAGUGACCACCACCAGCCAAAUGUAAGUGACUAACAGGGUUUUUUCUGCCUUAUCAUAUUCUGACCGGAUUUAGCAACCUCUAACUAAACAGAGGCGGAUGCCCCAAACCUUCCAUGAUCCCCUAACUGCUCUCCUGAGAAAACUUUCUGUUGACUUGAUCAAAACAUAUAAGCAUAUUAAUGAAGUUUACUAUGCAAAAAAGAAGCAGAGACACCAACAGGUCAGGGAGACAAAUCUAGUCAUAAGAAGGAGUGGAAGGUUUACAAUAAUGGUUAUGAUGAUGAUAACAAUGAUUAUUGUAAAAAACAGAGAAAAGUGGAUGGAUCGUUGCAAAAUUGACUCCUUGAUAGGCAAAGGUUCCUUUGGACAGGCUAUAAAGGCAUAUGAUUGGGUGGAGCAAGAAUGGGUUGCCAUUAAAAUAAUAAAGAACAAGAAAGCUUUUCUAAAUCAAGCCCAAAUAGAAGUGUAACUUCUGGAGCUCAUGAACAAGCAUGACACAGAAAUGAAAUACUACAUAGUGCAUUUGAAACACCACUUUAUGUUUGGAAACCAUCUCUGUUUAGUUUCUGAAAUGCUGUCCUACAACCUUUAUGACUUAAGGAACACCAGUUUCCUAGUGGUGUCUUUGAACCUCACACGAAAAUUUGCACGACAGAUGUGCACUACACUGCUUUUCCUUGAGACUCCAGAACUUAGUAUCAUUCACUGUGACCUAAAACCUGAGAAAAUCCUUCUUUGUAACCCCAAAUUCAGUGCAAUCAAGAUUGUUGACUUUGGCAGUUCUUGUCAGUUGGGGUAGAGGAUAAUACCAGUAUAUUCAGAGUCACUUUUAUGGGUCUUCAGAGGUGCUACUGGAAAUGCCUUAUGAUCUUGCUGUUGACAUGUGGUCCCUUGGGUGUAUUUUGGUUGAAAUGCAUGAUGGAGAACCUCUGUUCAGUGGUGCCAAUGAGGUAGAUCAGAUGAAUAAAGUAGUGGAAGUUCUGGGUAUUCCACCCGCUCAUAUUCUUGACCAAGCACCCAAAGCAAGAAAGUUUUUUGAGAAGUUGCUAGAUGGCCCUUGGCACUUAUAGACCAAAGAUGGAAAAUGAGAGUACAAACCACCAACAACCCAUAAACUUCAUAAUAUUCUUGGAGUAGAAAGAGGAGGACCUGGUGGGUGGCAUGCUGGGGAGUCAGGUCAUAUGGCAGCUGACUACUUGAAGUUCAAAGACCUCAUUUUAAGGAUGCUUGAUUAUGACCUCAAAACUCAGAUUCAACCUCAUUAUGCCCUGCAGCACAGUUUUUUCAAGAAAACAGUUGAUGGAGGUAUAAAUACAAGUAAUAGUGUAUCCUCAAGCCCUUCAAUGGAGCAGUUCCAGUCUUCAGACAUAACCUCCAGUACAUUGUGGAGCUCAGUGGAUCACAGGGGAGGAGCAACAGUGGGAGAGACAGGUCAGACCUGACACACCAGCAUGGGCACAGUGGCAGGCAUUUCACGGCUGCCAUCCAGGCCAUGGACUGUGAGUCACACAGUCCCCAGGUGUGUUAGCAAUUUCCAGCUUCUCUUGGCUGGUCAGACACUAAAGGUCCUACACAAAUCACUGCUGAAACCCAUCCCAUUCAAGAAACAACCUAUCAUAUAGCCCUUCAGCACAAUGCAUUGCAUCAUCAGCAUGGAAACAUUUCCCAUCAUUACCACCAAAACCAUGGACAGCAAGCUUUGGGUAACUGGACCCAACCAAGGUCUACAAUUCUUCAACAAAUAGCUCCUGUACUCAGGAUUCUAUGGAGGUUGGCCACAGUCACCACUCCAUGACAUCCCUGUGUUCCUCGACAUCUUCCUCCUCUUCUGGUAAUCAAAGCAAUCAGGCCUACCAGAGCUGCCCAGUGGCUGCUAACACCUUGGACUUUGGACAGAAUGGAGCUAUGGACAUAAAUUUGUCUAUUCCAGUCCCUGCCAAGAGACUGGCAUAGCUGGGCAUCCAACUCACCAAUUUUCUGCUAAUACACCUGUAUAUUACAUGACUGAGUGACAUCUGACGACGAGGCAAUAGGGCUGACGGAGAAGAAUCUCCCAUGACAGGAGUGUGUGUACAACAGAGUCCUGUAGCUAGCUCACGACUACAUUGAAACGUGUUUUUAUAGAAGUGGUGUAUUUUUUCCAAAAACAACGUGAAAAACUGCUUGAAUCAGAAGGACAUUAACACACUGAACUGCUACAAGUGGACAAAGCUGACUCUUUUUUUUUAAACUUGAAAAGAUUGCAAAGGGAAAAUGAAGUUUUUUAGAGUCAUGUCCAAAUCCGUCUUCAUGGAUAGCUCAGAGGUACCCUCUUUUUGCCUCCCCCAUUUAACUUGCCACCUCUUCGUCAUAGAGGGUUUUUUUUUUCCUUAUAGUCAAUAAAAAAAGUUAAUGUUCAGCUGUUGGUCUUGGUCAUUUGCCAACUAAUUUUGAAAUAAAAAGGCACAGUACAUAAUUUGCACAGGGCCCAUGAAGUUUUGAUUGUUUGUUUGCACCAACAGGUCCAAACUAGGAGCAGGAGUAAACCAGAACUCUCAGCAUGACCUGAAGUGAACCGGCUGGUAUUUAACACGUGCUUCAUUUUGAGAUUAUGCUGUCUUAAUGUAACACAGUUUGGCAGUUGCUAAAUGUGUGCUCCUAUUUUAAAUUGACCAAUUUUAGGGUGUUAUACUUUUGAGUAAUUAAAUUGGGAGAAUAAAGAUAUAGUAAUUUAUUACCUGUCCAGAAUCAAAAGAAGCCUAGAAAAGAAGCAGUUCUACCUCUGCUGAUAAUCCUGUUCAAAACAGUUCAGCAGAACACCACGUUACUUUUUAUUGGUUAACUCCAUGUGGCUGACUAGGUCAAUUUUUUCUGAAUAAAACAGGUUUUUAUAUGUAGUCAGUGACAAAAGAAAGGCUUAAAACUACGUAAAUGUGAAUGGAAACUUGGAAAUAUUUGUUUUUAUAAACCACAAUUUGCUUGUUGUUGUUAAUCAGGAAAUCCAUAUUUAUUUUGUAAUUAAAUGUCAAGACUGUUUUGAACAACCAACAAUAAAAAACUAAAAAAAAAAGAAAAAAAAGAUGUCAAGACUUUGGAUGAAAAAAAGAUAUUUUAAGUGUAUUCACAG
This 3958-nucleotide long non-coding RNA is filed under the name Marmota monax (woodchuck). Lineage: Eukaryota; Metazoa; Chordata; Mammalia; Rodentia; Sciuridae. The record is from RNAcentral.